AAUGGGGGAAACCCUGAUGCAGCGAUGCCGCGUGAGUGAAGAAGGCCUUUGGGUUGUAAAGCUCUUUCGUCGGGGAAGAAAAUGACUGUACCCGAAUAAGAAGGUCCGGCUAACUUCGUGCCAGCAGCCGCGGUAAUACGAAGGGACCUAGCGUAGUUCGGAAUUACUGGGCUUAAAGAGUUCGUAGGUGGUUAAAAAAGUUGGUGGUGAAAUCCCAGAGCUUAACUCUGGAACUGCCAUCAAAACUUUUUAGCUAGAGUAUGAUAGAGGAAAGCAGAAUUUCUAGUGUAGAGGUGAAAUUCGUAGAUAUUAGAAAGAAUACCGAUUGCGAAGGCAGCUCUCUGGAUCAUUACUGACACUGAGGAACGAAAGCAUGGGUAGCGAAGAGGAUU
RNAcentral lists this ribosomal RNA (392 nucleotides) under uncultured Gammaproteobacteria bacterium. RNAcentral's name for it is "bacterial SSU rRNA". It matches the Rfam family "Bacterial small subunit ribosomal RNA", at positions 370 to 779 of the family's 1533-position model. The record is from RNAcentral. Lineage: Bacteria; Pseudomonadati; Pseudomonadota; Gammaproteobacteria.